Molecule: ribosomal RNA, 370 nt
Filed under: uncultured bacterium
Lineage: Bacteria
Description: bacterial SSU rRNA
Rfam family: Bacterial small subunit ribosomal RNA
Source: RNAcentral
GGAGGGUGCAAGCGUUAAUCGGAAUUACUGGGCGUAAAGCGCACGCAGGCGGUUGGAUAAGUUAGAUGUGAAAGCCCCGGGCUCAACCUGGGAAUUGCAUUUAAAACUGUCCAGCUAGAGUCUUGUAGAGGGGGGUAGAAUUCCAGGUGUAGCGGUGAAAUGCGUAGAGAUCUGGAGGAAUACCGGUGGCGAAGGCGGCCCCCUGGACAAAGACUGACGCUCAGGUGCGAAAGCGUGGGGAGCAAACAGGAUUAGAUACCCUGGUAGUCCACGCCGUAAACGAUGUCGAUUUGGAGGCUGUGUCCUUGAGACGUGGCUUCCGGAGCUWACGCGUUAAAUCGACCGCCUGGGGAGAACGGCCGCAAGGUUA